Molecule: non-coding RNA, 32 nt
Filed under: Rattus norvegicus (Norway rat)
Lineage: Eukaryota; Metazoa; Chordata; Mammalia; Rodentia; Muridae
Source: RNAcentral
UAUCAAGAAUGGCCCUAGUCACUGGGGAUAGC